This 209-nucleotide non-coding RNA is filed under the name Endomicrobium. Lineage: Bacteria; Pseudomonadati; Elusimicrobiota; Endomicrobiia; Endomicrobiales; Endomicrobiaceae. The record is from RNAcentral. RNAcentral also lists the same sequence under 1 other name.
GCACAAUAUAUAGUUUUUGGUGCUCCUUAGAGCCUAACAGGAAAUUCCGUGAAAAUCGGAAGCAUUCCCGAUGCUGUGAGGGAAAUACGAAAGCCGCAUUUAUAGCCACUGUUUGAGAAUUUUGCAAAUGGGAAGGCGCGGCAAGUAGGAUAAACGUUUAACGUUUAAUAUUCCCAAGCCAGAAGACCUGCCAAAAAUUUUUUACGGAU